Molecule: ribosomal RNA, 424 nt
Filed under: bacterium
Lineage: Bacteria
Description: partial 16S ribosomal RNA
Rfam family: Bacterial small subunit ribosomal RNA
Source: RNAcentral
UGAGGAAUAUUGGUCAAUGGGCGCAAGCCUGAACCAGCCAUGCCGCGUGCAGGAUGAAGCAUCCAUGGUGUGUAAACUGCUUUUGUACGGGAAGAAACACCUCUACGUGUAGAGGCUUGACGGUACCGUAAGAAUAAGGAUCGGCUAACUCCGUGCCAGCAGCCGCGGUAAUACGGAGGAUCCAAGCGUUAUCCGGAAUCAUUGAGUUUAAAGGGUCCGUAGGCGGUUUUAUAAGUCAGUGGUGAAAUCCGGCAGCUCAACUGUCGAACUGCCAUUGAUACUGUAGAACUUGAAUUAUUGUCAAGUAACUAGAAUAUGUAGUGUAGCGGUGGAAUGCUUAGAUAUUACAUGGAAUACCCAUUGCGAAGGCAGGUUACUAACAAUUGGUUGACGCUGAUGGACGAAAGCGUGGGGAGCGAACAGG